This 330-nucleotide ribosomal RNA is filed under the name uncultured bacterium. Its description in RNAcentral is "bacterial SSU rRNA". It matches the Rfam family "Bacterial small subunit ribosomal RNA", at positions 568 to 898 of the family's 1533-position model. The record is from RNAcentral.
UGCGCAGGCGAUCUUGUAAGACAGAUGUGAAAUCCCCGGGCUUAACCUGGGAACUGCAUUUGUGACUGCAAGGCUGGAGUACGGCAGAGGGGGAUGGAAUUCCGCGUGUAGCAGUGAAAUGCGUAGAUAUGCGGAGGAACACCGAUGGCGAAGGCAAUCCCCUGGGCCUGUACUGACGCUCAUGCACGAAAGCGUGGGGAGCAAACAGGAUUAGAUACCCUGGUAGUCCACGCCCUAAACGAUGUCAACUGGUUGUUGGGUCUUCACUGACUCAGUAACGAAGCUAACGCGUGAAGUUGACCGCCUGGGGAGUACGGCCGCAAGGUUGAA